RNAcentral lists this long non-coding RNA (535 nucleotides) under Homo sapiens (human). RNAcentral's name for it is "HSALNT0143863". The record is from RNAcentral. Lineage: Eukaryota; Metazoa; Chordata; Mammalia; Primates; Hominidae.
CCAGGAUUCCUCCUAAGCCGUGUCCCAUCUGUGCGGGACCCCACUGAAAAUCGGACUGUUCAACUUACCUGGCAGCCACUCCCAGAGCCCCUGGAACUCUGGCCCAAGGAUCUCUGAUUGACUCCUUCUUGGCUUACCGGCUGAAGACUGACGCUGCCUGAUCGCCUCGGAAGCCCCGUAGACCAUCACGGACGCCGAGCUUUAGGUCACUACUGAGAGAUCAGGAAAAAAACAGCUCUCCAAGAUUGUCCCAAGGACCCCCUGCACCUGCAAGUAUCCAACAAGUCCAUCAGCCCUUGGACUACUGUUGCAUGAAUGAGACAGACAUGAGAAGACUUGAGUCUCCAUGUGGUCUUUCUCAGUCACCUUGGGGCCCCACCAAGUGUUGGUGUUUUUACCAUUUGCUCCUUGACAGAAAGAAUAGGAAGUUCAUGAAGGUUAAUGUGUCAUAAGGCAUGAGAACACUGGAAGGUUGAAUGAAUCACUUGCUUUGGAGGCCUUUGAAAACAAAAACAAAAUGGCAACAAUUAAAAAC